GGAAUAUGAAGAUCAAAUAAGAGCUGCUAACUCUUUAUUUUAAUGGUUAAAAUCCAUUAAUAUUCCU
Molecule: transfer RNA, 67 nt
Filed under: Onomarchus uninotatus
Lineage: Eukaryota; Metazoa; Arthropoda; Insecta; Orthoptera; Tettigoniidae
Description: tRNA-Ser
Source: RNAcentral